RNAcentral lists this ribosomal RNA (406 nucleotides) under uncultured bacterium. Its description in RNAcentral is "partial 16S ribosomal RNA". It matches the Rfam family "Bacterial small subunit ribosomal RNA", at positions 30 to 526 of the family's 1533-position model. The record is from RNAcentral.
AUUGAACGCUGGCGGCAGGCCUAACACAUGCAAGUCGAACGAGUGGCGGACGGGUGAGUAAUGUCUGGGAAACUGCCUGAUGGAGGGGGAUCACUACUGGAAACGGUAGCUAAUACCGCAUACCAUCGCUUGUGCCCAGAUGGGAUUAGCUAGUAGGUGGGGUAAAGGCUCACAUAGGCGACGAUCCCUAGCUGGUCUGAGAGGAUGACCAGCCAAACUGGAACGGAGAAACGGUCCAGACUCCUACGGGAGGCAGCAGUGGGGAAUAUUGCACAAUGGGCGCAAGCCUGAUGCAGCAAUGCCGCGUGUGUGAAGAAGGCCUUCGGGUUGUAAAGUACUUUCAGCGGGGAGGCGUUACCCGCAGAAGAAGCACCGGCUAACUCCGUGCCAGCAGCCGCGGUAAUUC